GCCCGAGUGGCGGAAUUGGCAGACGCGACGGACUCAAAAUCCGUUUCCCGCAAGGGAGUGUGGGUUCGAACCCCACCUCGGGUACCA
Molecule: transfer RNA, 87 nt
Filed under: Candidatus Coprovicinus avistercoris
Lineage: Bacteria; Bacillati; Actinomycetota; Coriobacteriia; Coriobacteriales; Coriobacteriaceae
Description: tRNA-Leu
Rfam family: tRNA
About the family: Transfer RNA (tRNA) molecules are approximately 80 nucleotides in length. Their secondary structure includes four short double-helical elements and three loops (D, anti-codon, and T loops). Further hydrogen bonds mediate the characteristic L-shaped molecular structure. tRNAs have two regions of fundamental functional importance: the anti-codon, which is responsible for specific mRNA codon recognition, and the 3' end, to which the tRNAs corresponding amino acid is attached (by aminoacyl-tRNA synthetases). tRNAs cope with the degeneracy of the genetic code in two manners: having more than one tRNA (with a specific anti-codon) for a particular amino acid; and 'wobble' base-pairing, i.e. permitting non-standard base-pairing at the 3rd anti-codon position.
Source: RNAcentral